This is a long non-coding RNA of Anopheles coustani, 946 nucleotides long. RefSeq lists it as uncharacterized. The transcript is spliced from 4 exons. The record is from RefSeq and is a predicted model, not a curated record. NCBI's taxonomy places the organism in Eukaryota, Metazoa, Arthropoda, Insecta, Diptera, Culicidae.
AACCCCAUUUUGGAAAACUUAUCCUUGCAGGACGUGUUUCAAAUAGUAAGAAACGAUAGAUUGUGUUGUCAAGUGAACUGUUAGUUUCGCUAAGAAAAGUUAUUUGCUGGAAAGGAGCUAGUAGCAAUUGGUCGAAUUUGAAUAAUUUGUUUGUUUGGAUGGAAAUUGAACCAUCUGCUUGUUUGAGUUCACUGUUAAAUUAACUGAACUAUUUGUAAAUCGAUGAGUGAAGUGAUUUGUUAAGGUUUCGCGUAUUGCCUAUCUAGUAGUGUUGUGCUUAAUGAAUCUUUUGACGGGAUUCAUACUAAUGAAUCUUUCACCUAACAUGCAGUCAGAUGGUUUCUUUACGCAUUCGACUCUUUCAAAACCUCGUCAUGAAUCUUUCACGAAAAUCCACGAUUCAUUCAUUGGCGUGGACCAUCCGACCAAAAAACAAAUUCUGCCCAUUUUUGGAGGGCUCGACGAAAGAUUCAUUCAGAUUUAUUAAUCUGAAUCUGAUUUACUCAACUCUACUAUCUAGAACAUGCCUCAGUGUCGGUUGGUUUUACUCACCAUAAUCACUCUCUGUGGGACUGAAAUCAGCGACCAGUACACAAUUUUUUUAACUGCUCCUUUGAACCGUAUUCCGUAAUUAAACAAUAGAAAUAUGGAUGGCGUUCAAAAGGGAUGUCUUCGAAGUGCUAUGCGCAGUGGCUUCGUUAUCUUCAGUCCGAAGUUUUCGAUGGAAAUGUAACUUUUGAUCUAAUUAUUCAUGUUCUCUUCUGAUGAUGGUGAGUCCCACCUUGUUGGAAACAGUUCGGAACCAUAAGUUCGAACUCGCUCCAACAGCACCUGUCAGAUGAAAAUGGAACGAUAUCAGCGUGAGAAAACCGAUAAAAGAAGUGAAAAAGCGGGAAAAAUAACUUACUCUGUUACAAGCACAAGCAACGGGAAUAAAGAGUAAAUU